CCUACGGGCGGCAGCAGUGAGGAAUAUUGGUCAAUGGACGAGAGUCUGAACCAGCCAAGUCGCGUGAAGGAUGACUGUCCUAUGGGUUGUAAACUUCUUUUAUAAAGGAAUAAAACGAGGCACGUGUGCCUUUUUGCAUGUACUUUAUGAAUAAGGAUCGGCUAACUCCGUGCCAGCAGCCGCGGUAAUACGGAGGAUCCGAGCGUUAUCCGGAUUUAUUGGGUUUAAAGGGAGCGUAGAUGGGUUGUUAAGUCAGUUGUGAAAGGUUGCGGCUCAACCGUAAAAUUGCAAUUGAUACUGGCAGUCUUGAGUACAGUAGAGGUAGGCGGAAUUCGUGGUGUAGCGGUGAAAUGCUUAGAUAUCACGAAGAACCCCGAUUGCGAAGGCAGCUUACUAAACUGUGACUGACAUUGAUGCUCGAAAGUGUGGGUAUCAAACAGGAUUAGAUACCCCAGUAGUC
RNAcentral lists this ribosomal RNA (460 nucleotides) under uncultured bacterium. RNAcentral describes it as "partial 16S ribosomal RNA". It matches the Rfam family "Bacterial small subunit ribosomal RNA", at positions 338 to 795 of the family's 1533-position model. The record is from RNAcentral.